AAGCAUCCCCGCAGCCACAGCCGCCGGCAUAUAUCACCACCGGUUCCUUGUCGCAGCCUCGCAGAGCCGCAGGUGCUUCUUUCCAUUCCACCCUCCGGAGUCGUGAGAAGCUUCUCGACCCCUCUCCGCCCCCCUCUCUGCAGAAAACAAUGAGCAGGCGCAACAGCCGCACCAUCUACGUAGGCAACCUCCCUGGGGACAUCCGUGAGAGGGAGGUUGAGGAUCUCUUCUAUAAGUAUGGACGGAUUUUGGAUAUUGACUUAAAGAUUCCUCCAAGACCUCCUGGUUACGCUUUUGUUGAGUUUGAGGAUCCCCGUGAUGCCGACGAUGCAAUUUAUGGGCGUGAUGGGUAUACCUUUGAUGGCUACAGAUUGCGGGUUGAAUUAGCCCACGGUGGAAGAGGUCAGUCUUACUCUUAUGAUCGUCCAAGCAGCUAUAGCAGUGUGGGCCGUGGAGGUGUUUCUAGGCGCUCUGAUUACCGUGUUAUGGUCACUGGUUUACCUUCAUCGACGUCAUGGCAAGAUCUGAAGGACCAUAUGCGAAGCGCUGGUGAUGUCUGUUUCUCUGAUGUAUACCGUGAGGCUGGAGAAACUAUUGGAAUUGUGGAUUAUACAAACUAUGAAGACAUGAAAUAUGCAGUUAGGAAGCUUGAUGACUCGCAGUUCAGAAACGCAUUUUCAAAGGCGUAUAUCAGAGUGAGGGAGUAUGAUGCUAGAUCACGAAGCAGAAGCCGUAGCCACUCGUACUCGAGAAGCCCCAGUUACAGCAGAAGCAGGAGUCCAAAAUCUGUUUCUCGGUCACCCUCACCUGUGGAUGAAAGGUUUGCUUUUGUUUUUCCUAGAUCUGGCCAUGCGGCGAUCUGGGGACUGCAUUGAUAGAAUAUUGGAUGUAUUGAGAAACGGAAAGGAUGGUUUGGGACUUUGGAUAGUAGAGCUGGAUUGUGAUGCAUGUAUGACAAGUGGGCAACAACCCAGUCCUAGGAGCAAGAUAGGACUGACAGUAAGGAUAUGUGAAAUGGAUAUUGUGGUAUUAUUAAAAAGAAAUUGUUGACUAUAAGCACUUAAAUUUCAAAGACUCCAUAUAAAUGAGCCUGAACUCAUAACUUUGCUAGUUUUCUUUUAAUAAUCUUGUCAUCCUGGUAAAAAAGAUGAGAAAAUCCAAAUACUAUGGUGCUUGGUAAGCACUUUCUUGUCAAUGUGGAUCCUAAGUUUGCUUUAGCUCAAAAAAGUUGACACUAAGAAUUAAGAUUCAAUAUACACCUUGCUUAGUUUUCCUAUUUGCAGUUUCUGUUUUAGUUGAAUUACACGACCUGAUAGCCUGAUAGGAUGAAUAAGAAUAUUACUUUAUUGAAAAGUACAUAAAAACUUGUAUUAAGCAUAAACACCAAAAUGUGCACUAAACACUGUAGCUCUCCUCCAGAAUCUCUGAUGGGCUGGUUAGUUUUGUUGGCAAUUUUAUAUCACAAUACUACUAAUGCAGCAUUAAGUAAUGAAUUUUGUUUCUGGAACCUUCUGCAGAUCGCUGUCAAGAUCCCGAUCCCCUGUUUCUUCUUCUUCUCCGGGAAGAUCCACAAGCAGAAGCCCUAGCAGGAGCAGGAGCCUAUCCCGUUCUCGAUCUCCUGUGAGAUCUGAUUGAACUUGGAAUCCCUUGAAGCAGUGAGCAACUAACGAGAGACCGGACUUGAGGAGAACAUGCACUACCAUUACAAUGUUCUGAAUGACUACACUGUUGUCACUGCUCUCCCUCAUUUGGGAGGUUGCCUUUUAUUUAGUACUUAGGCUCAUGCGUUGCAUGCUGGUAAAACUGAACUCGUGUGUUGGAGCAGUCAGGUUUCAUUUACUAUUAGCAUGUGAAGGACAAUCUGUACAGUCUGUCGUACCGUAAGACUAUUGUUGCUGAAUGCACCGCGGCUCAUUUGAUCGCUGGUAAACCUUUUAUCAGUAGUUUGGUUGAUGUACUCAA
RNA transcript from Phragmites australis (common reed), 1962 nucleotides. It is a transcript of the gene named serine/arginine-rich-splicing factor SR34, with no coding region annotated. The transcript has 14 exons. Lineage: Eukaryota; Viridiplantae; Streptophyta; Magnoliopsida; Poales; Poaceae. The record is from RefSeq and is a predicted model, not a curated record.